This is a long non-coding RNA of Melanotaenia boesemani (Boeseman's rainbowfish), 250 nucleotides long. RefSeq lists it as uncharacterized. The record is from RefSeq and is a predicted model, not a curated record. NCBI's taxonomy places the organism in Eukaryota, Metazoa, Chordata, Actinopteri, Atheriniformes, Melanotaeniidae. The transcript has 3 exons.
UGGAUGGACUGGAUGCCGUAGUGCCAAACCUUAUGGGGCUGUACAAAGCAGCUGUUGCAUCAGGCCGGAAGAAGAGCCUGUGCAGCAUUCUCCACUGCCUUCAAACAGAGGAUACAAAUCAAAACAGAGGGACGGCAGCCCUCCUCGGGCUUCCACAGUAUCUUUCAGAAGAUUCCUCUAAUGUUAUCAAGAUCUGUGAUGCUCAUGGAGAGACCCUCGAUGUGAUCCUAAAAGGACUGCAGGUUGAGAU